This is a long non-coding RNA of Parus major (Great Tit), 640 nucleotides long. RefSeq lists it as uncharacterized. Lineage: Eukaryota; Metazoa; Chordata; Aves; Passeriformes; Paridae. The record is from RefSeq and is a predicted model, not a curated record. The transcript has 3 exons.
UCAUCUCUGCCAUGACCUCUGCCUCUGAAGAGUUUUCAUCUGAAGCAGAGACUGUGAGGAAGAGGAGGAGCAAUGGUGGAAAAUUAAGCUAAAGCAAUUAGCUGGUGGGGCAUGUUCCAUUUGUUUGGAAUUCUUGUUGUAAUGAUCUGGAUAAUCCCAUUAACUGUCCUGGAGCUCAAGCACUGCCCAUCAGAAGAAAACCUCAGGACUGCAGCACUCAAAUCCUGUCAAACAGAGCCUGCAGACUUAGGGACUCCCUCCUGUGUGAUCCACCAGCUCAGAGCAAUUCUGAGCGUUUCCUGCUGGUCUCCUGCGACAUCCAAGGGAUCUGGGUACCAGUGUGCUUGUGCCUCAUCAGUCAGUGGAAGCUGAGAUCCUGAUUCGUGCAGCUUGGAGCCUGUUGCUGGAAAAAAUGCACUCGUUUUCAAGUAAACACCCUAUUUGCAUUCAAAUGCAAAUGCUAACAAUUGUGUGAACCUGUUGCAGGUGCUGAAAUGUGGCACCUGCUCCGGGGGGUUAAUAACACCAGUAAAAGGAAACGUAGCCAUGAGGCUUGCUUAAUGUGGCCUCAGAGACUGGGUUUGUUCCUCUGGAAAUGUGUGCUAAUGAGAAAGCUAUUCAAUAAACCUCCACUCUUCUA